AUACGUAGGGGGCGAGCGUUGUCCGGAAUGAUUGGGCGUAAAGGGCGCGUAGGCGGCCCGGUAAGUCUGGAGUGAAAGUCCUGUUUUUAAGAUGGGAAUUGCUUUGGAUACUGUCGGGCUUGAGUGCAGGAGAGGUAAGUGGAAUUCCCAGUGUAGCGGUGAAAUGCGUAGGGAUUGGGAGGAACACCAGUGGCGAAGGCGACUUACUGGACUGUAACUGACGCUGAGGCGCGAAAGUGUGGGGAGCAAACAGGAUUAGAUACCCUGGUAGUCCACACUGUAAACGAUGAAUGCUAGGUGUAGGGGGUAUCGACCCCUUCUGUGCCGCAGUCAACACAAUAAGCAUUCCGCCUGGGGAGUACGGCCGCAAGGUUGAAACUCAAAUGAAUUGACGGGG
RNAcentral lists this ribosomal RNA (397 nucleotides) under uncultured bacterium. RNAcentral describes it as "partial 16S ribosomal RNA". It matches the Rfam family "Bacterial small subunit ribosomal RNA", at positions 523 to 918 of the family's 1533-position model. The record is from RNAcentral.